This is a non-coding RNA of Arachis ipaensis, 931 nucleotides long. The record is from RefSeq and is a predicted model, not a curated record. Lineage: Eukaryota; Viridiplantae; Streptophyta; Magnoliopsida; Fabales; Fabaceae.
AAGGCCCUUAAAGAAUAACCCCCUACCCUCUCCUUAACUUAUCGAAUAGGGGCGAGUCAUUCAUCUCGAGCUACUAAGCCAAGGGUAGCCACUCUAGCAAUUGAAUACCUUCCAGACCCGCUACUGAUGAAGAACAAUACUCUAGCUAAAAGAAAAGAAAAUGCAUUCCUGAAUGAAUUCAAUCCGGCCUGAGAGUGAAAUAGAGAAGUGAGAUAGAGAAGGGAGUUGUAGUUCUGAGUUUGUAGUUGGAGUUCGUGAGCCAAUAAGUGAGCUUUUUCAAUCCUCUUGAAUCAUAGACAUGAGGACCGUCGGAGCGGGACUUCUUGGGGAAAAAGAACUUAAAAAACUUCGUUUUUCUGAAGGAGUCGUCAUUUUAUAUCAGGAACGCUAUGUCAUUUACAACCCCGGCGUAUUUCGGAUGCUUGAAGGCCCCGCUGACCCGAAGUGAUUUAGAAAGAUUCUUCUUUAUCGAUGGUGAUCGGUCAUGGUAUCCAUAGCGUUGCUUCUUUUUCGGCCAAAUCCUAAUUUCGUUUUGCUUCCCCCCUAUCGCUAGGGCGUCGAGCCUGAUCGGCUCGACUCUUUUCCCUGCCCUCCGGCCUCUCACUUCGUUUUGUUCUUCUUCUGUAUUGUAGCUGGAAUGAAGACACCCGAUCGGCCCGACUUUCCCAAAUGCCCACCACCGGUCCUUCACCUUUCCGGGUCUGGAUUUUUCGCGUCGUUUCAGUCGUCGUGGUCGACGGGGAAGAAAGAAAUGAAUGAAUGUUCUUUUGGGAAAAUGUAUAAGAAUACACCUACCGAGACAGAAGCCAAAGGUGAGUCUCGCAGGUGGACGUAUCGAACCGAAAUAAAAUCUCAGAUUUACAUCUUUAUACACUAAUUUACCAUAAUAAUAAAUAGAGUCAAUGGUGACUCCGUCCAACCUAAGGGACUG